AAAAGUAAGAAAGGGCGUAUGGCGGAUGCCUAGGCUCACGGAGGCGAUGAAGGACGUGAUAAGCUGCGAUAAGCUCUGGGUAGGUGCAAAUAACCUUUGAUCCGGGGAUUUCCGAAUGGGACAACCUGGCCGUCUGAAGGACGGUCAUCCUGACCCAGAGUCAGGAGGCUAACGCAGGGAACUGAAACAUCUUAGUACCUGCAGGAAGAGAAAAUAAAUAAUGAUUCCCCCAGUAGUGGCGAGCGAACGGGGAACAGCCCAAACCGCAGACGUCGCAAGGCGCCGGCGGGGUUGUAGGACCGCGACAUUGUAUUGCGAUGGCGAGUGGAAGUAUCUGGAAAGUUACAUCAUAGAAGGUGACAGUCCUGUACACGAAGCCAAAUCAAGCAUAGCGGUAUCCUGAGUAACGCGGGACACGAGGAAUCCUGCGCGAAUCUGCCGGGACCAUCCGGUAAGGCUAAAUACUCCCGUGAGACCGAUAGCGAACGAGUACUGUGAAGGAAAGGUGAAAAGAACCCCGAGCAGGGGAGUGAAAUAGUUCCUGAAACCAUACGCCUACAAGCGGUCGGAGCACAGCAAUGUGUGACGGCGUGCCUUUUGCAUAAUGAUCCUACGAGUUACCGUCACUGGCGAGGUUGAGUGUCACGAGACACGUAGCCGCAGUGAAAGCGAGCCUGAAUAGGGCGCACAGUCAGUGGGGGUAGACGCGAAACCAAGUGAUCUACACUUGGCCAGGAUGAAGUCCCGGUAACACGGGAUGGAGGUCCGCACCAAUAAGCGUUGAAAAGCUUCUGGAUGAGCCGAGUGUAGGAGUGAAAGGCCAAUCAAACUUGGAGAUAGCUCGUACUCCCCGAAAGGCAUUUAGGUGCCGCGUCGGAUGGUCACCGUGAGAGGUAGAGCGACCGAUAGGACAAGAGGGCUUCACCGCCUAUCGAGUCCUGACGAACUCCGAAUGCUCACGGUCUGCAGUCCGGCAGUAAGGGGGCGGGUGCUAAGGUCCGUCCCCGAGAGGAGAAGAAUCCAGACCGCCGUCUAAGGUCCCGGAGUUCUGCCUGAGUUAGUCUAACGAAGUCUGGUCCCAGUGACAGCUAGGAUGUUGGCUUGGAAGCAGCCAUUCAUUCAAAGAGUGCGUAACAGCUCACUAGUCGAGGGUCCGGGCAUGGAUAAUAAUCGGGUAUAAGGCAGACACCGAAGGCGCGGGAUAGCAUUUAAGAAAGUAUCGGUAGGGGAGCAUACUCACAGCGUCGAAUGGUGUACGUAAGUUAUCCUGGAGCGGUGAGUAAAGCAAAUGUAGGAAUAAGUAACGAUAAGGAGGGUUAGAUUCCCUCCCGCUGUAAGACCAAGGUUUCCCGGGCAAUGCCAAUCAGCCCGGGGUCAGUCGGGUCCUAAGUCUAAGCCGAACGGCGAUGGCGAUGGCAGAGACGGUUAAUAUUCCGUCACUGCCGCAUGGGGCGACGUGGAGACGGAGCAGUGAAACCACCGCGGGGCGACGGAAGUCCCCGUUGAAGAGUGUAGGUGUUGAGGAUGGCAGGCAAAUCCACCAUCCGAGCUGAACUUGAUAGUAUGGAGUCUUCUUCGGAAGAAUCCAAUAGUGUGGGUAAUCAUACUCCCGAGAAAAUCCGCUAAGCUUAACCCAUGCGGCACCCGUACCGCAAACGGACACACGUGGUCGGGUAGAACAUACUAAGGCGUUGAGAGAUUCAUGGUUAAGGAACUAGGCAAAUUGACCCUGUAACUUCGGGAUAAAGGGUCCUCGUGAUGAGCGAGGCGCAGAGAAUAGGUCCAGGCAACUGUUUAACAAAAACACAGGGCUGUGCAAACUCGAAAGAUGAAGUAUACAGCCUGACACCUGCCCGGUGCCGGAAGGUUAAGAGGAGAUGUCACUCGCAAGAGGAAGCAUUGAAUUGAAGCCCCGGUAAACGGCGGCCGUAACUAUAACGGUCCUAAGGUAGCGAAAUUCCUUGUCGGGU
RNAcentral lists this ribosomal RNA (1970 nucleotides) under human metagenome. RNAcentral's name for it is "bacterial LSU rRNA". It matches the Rfam family "Bacterial large subunit ribosomal RNA", at positions 1 to 1977 of the family's 2925-position model. The record is from RNAcentral.